This 774-nucleotide ribosomal RNA is filed under the name uncultured Neocallimastigales. RNAcentral's name for it is "partial large subunit ribosomal RNA". It matches the Rfam family "Eukaryotic large subunit ribosomal RNA", at positions 23 to 625 of the family's 3401-position model. Lineage: Eukaryota; Fungi; Neocallimastigomycota; Neocallimastigomycetes; Neocallimastigales. The record is from RNAcentral.
GAGACUCUGUGCGCGUGCAUAUCAAUAAGCGGAGGAAAAGAAACUAACAAGGAUUCCCUUAGUAACGGCGAGUGAAGCGGGAAGAGCUCAAAUUUGAAAUCUUCAAGGUUUUACCUUGACGAAUUGUAGUUUAAAGAAGUGUUUUCUGUUGGAGUUUUGGUAAAAGUUCUUUGGAAUAGGACAUCAUAGAGGGUGAGAAUCCCGUAUUUGACCAUUAUUUCCAGCUUUGUGAUACACUUUCAAAGAGUCGGAUUGUUUGGGAAUGCAGUCCAAAAUGGGUGGUAAAUUUCAUCUAAAGCUAAAUAUUGGCGAGAGACCGAUAGCGAACAAGUACCGUGAGGGAAAGAUGAAAAGAACUUUGAAAAGAGAGUUAAACAGUACGUGAAAUUGUCAAAAGGGAAGCGUUUGACACCAGUGUUGUUUUCUCGAAAAUCAAUUAAAAAAGGCCGGAUUUUGUGUUGUAUUGACCUUAAAAGCUUUCUUCACUCUUUUCUUGUCUUUUUUAAUGCACUUUUCGUUUAACAAGUCAACAUCAGUUUCUUUUGUUGUAAAAGGGUCAUUGGAAGGUGGCUUUCUUUUCGGAGAAAGUGUUUAUAGCCUUUGAUCUCUGCAACCGGAGAGACUGAGGUCUGCAGCGUAGACUCUUCGGGGUUAAAUACAUUUGUGCUAAGCUAUAGCUUUUUAUAGACAACUUGUUGACUAUAUUUAGUCUUGUGGCUUACUCGCUUAUGCUGUUUUACCUACGCUUAGGAUGUUGAUCUGUAGUGCGUGCGC